ACGGAUAACAGAGAAUCUGGGUUCGAUUCUGGAGAGGCCGCAUGAGAAACGGCGACCACUUCCAAGGAAGGCAGCAGGCACGCAAAUUACCCACUUCGGACACCGAGAGGUAGUGACGAACAAUACCGAUGCGGCGCACUUACGUGUCGCCGUAAUCGGAAUGAGUACACUUCAAAUCCUUUAACGAGGAUCCACUGGAGGGCAAGCCUGGUGCCAGCAGCCGCGGUAAUUCCAGCUCCAGCAGCGUAUAUUUAUAUUGCUGCGUUUAAAAAGCUCGUAGUUGAAGCGUCAGACGCGGGAGGGCGGACGGCCGCACUGGUCGCUCUCGCCCGACCGAGCCAGGCGCAGAGGGCGCGCGUCGCUUGCACUUCACCGUGUGAGCGCGCCGCCGCUGCACGUUCACCUUGAAGAAAUUGAACCGCUUAGAGGGGGCGAGCAGCUUGAACAGCUCAGCAUGGUAUGAUGGAACAUGGGCUCGUACUCAUUUUGUUGGUUAGAGAGUCGGCGAGCCAAUGAUUAACAGGGACUGCCGGGGGCAUUAGUACUCGGACGGGAGAGGUGAAAUUCAAGGAUCGUCCGAAGACUCCCUACUGCGAAAGCAUUUGCCAAGAAUGUUUUCAUUAAUCAAGAACGAAAGUCAGAGGUGCGAAGGCGAUCAGAUACCGCCGUAGUUCUGACCGUAAACGUUGCCAACUGGCAAUUGGGCGCACUUCUGUCGAAGUUGCCGCCAGCAGUAUUUCCCGGGAAACCAAAGUCAUUGGGUUCCGGGGGGAGUAUGGUUGCAAAGCUGAAACUUAAAGGAAUUGACGGAAGGGCACCACCAGGAGUGGAGCCUGCGGCUUAAUUUGACUCAACACGGGAAACCUCACCCGGCCCGAACACUGUUAUGACAGACAGGUUGAGAGCUCUUUCUCGAUUCAGUGGUUGGUGGUGCAUGGCCGUUCUUAGUUCGUGGAGCGAUCUGUCUGGUUAAUUCCGAUAACGAACGAGAUUCUUGCCUGCUAAAUAGACGGCGUCGACUGCGUGCGACGACCGUUCGCUUCUUAGAGGGACAAGCGGCUUUUAGCCGCGUGAAGCUGAGAGCAAUAACAGGUCAGUGAUGCCCUCAGAUGUUCGGGGCCGCACGCGCGCUACACUGUUUGCAUCAGCGUGUUUCUCCCGCGCCGAUCGGCGCGGGCAACCCGUUGAACCGCAAACGUGCUAGGGAUCGGAGAUUGCAAUUGUUCUCCGUGAACGAGGAAUUCCUUGUACUGGCGAGUCAUCAGCUCGCGGGGAAUCUGUCCCUGCCCUUUGUACACACCGCCCGUCGCUACUACCGAUUGAGUGGUUUAGUGAGGCUCACGGACUGCGAGCGGCACCCGGCGGCUUCGGCCGUCAACGGCGUCGCGAGCGGAAAGUGAGACGAACUUGAUCACUUCUAGGAAGUAAAAGUCGUAACAAGGUUUUCGUAGGUGAACCUGCGUAAGGAUCA
This 1471-nucleotide ribosomal RNA is filed under the name Eurystomella foraminigera. RNAcentral describes it as "SSU rRNA". It matches the Rfam family "Eukaryotic small subunit ribosomal RNA", at positions 355 to 1828 of the family's 1831-position model. The record is from RNAcentral. Lineage: Eukaryota; Metazoa; Bryozoa; Gymnolaemata; Cheilostomatida; Eurystomellidae.